UUUUUUUUAAAGGAGAUUUAAACAUAUAUAUGGUAUUAAAAAUAUUUUAGGGAUAUUUAACGUAUGUUGGUAGGUGUAAUAAAUAUCCAACCAAAAAGUCAAUCAAAUUUAAUGUGUAGUUUAAUUUGUUGCAGAACGGAUUAUAAGAUAUUUCUCAUAUUUUGAGUCAUGUACUAAUGUGUCGUAUACAAUUCAACCUAAUAAUGAUUCUUGUUAAUAUAAUUCGUACGUCACUCACAAGACUCAAAAAUGAAAAUAAAAAUAAGCUUAGAA
This is a long non-coding RNA of Melitaea cinxia (Glanville fritillary), 273 nucleotides long. RefSeq lists it as uncharacterized. NCBI's taxonomy places the organism in Eukaryota, Metazoa, Arthropoda, Insecta, Lepidoptera, Nymphalidae. The record is from RefSeq and is a predicted model, not a curated record. The transcript has 2 exons.